CCGUCAAUUCCUUUGAGUUUCACCGUUGCCGGCGUACUCCCCAGGUGGAAUACUUAACGCUUUCGCUUGGCCGCUUACUGUAUAUCGCAAACAGCGAGUAUUCAUCGUUUACUGUGUGGACUACCAGGGUAUCUAAUCCUGUUUGAUACCCACACUUUCGAGCAUCAGCGUCAGUUACAGUCCUGUGAGCUGCCUUCGCAAUUGGAGUUCUUCGUGAUAUCUAAGCAUUUCACCGCUACACCACGAAUUCCGCCCACAUUUAAUGCACUCAAGACGUCCAGUAUCAACUGCAAUUUCAAGGUUGAGCCUUAAACUUUCACAACUGACUUAAACAUCCGCCUACGCUCCCUUUAAACCCAAUAAAUCCGGAUAACGCUCGGAUCCUCCGUAUUACCGCGGC
This 400-nucleotide unclassified non-coding RNA is filed under the name uncultured fungus. RNAcentral describes it as "sequence contains ITS1". Lineage: Eukaryota; Fungi. The record is from RNAcentral.